CACAGCUACAUGUCUGGUCCAGAAACCUAGCAAACUUUAUGUUGAUGUUGGUUGCUAGUUUAAUGUGUUAACUGUAAUUGAUAACUAACUCUAUACUAGUUUAGCUAACGCUAGCUAACGCUAGCUAACGCUAACGGGUUAGCUAAUCCUUUUAACACUGCCCAAACUAAGUUAGCACCAGCUAGCGUUAGCGUCAGCGCUAACGCUAGCUUACGCUAACGCUAGCUUACGCUAACGCUAGUUUAGUUUGGGCAGUGUUAGCUAACGCUAGCUUAGUUUGGGCAGUGUUUAUCUCGGGUAAAUGUUUCUAAUUCGAAAGUUUGUGUUAACACAAAACUAUAAUGUUAAACUAACAGCCUGGGCACGGAUUUAAUAUGAGUUAACCCUCUGAAGACACUAUGAUUUCAGCCAGUAUUACUGUCUUUCAGAAGCUGUAGUGGGCCUGAUAUUUAAUGUAGCAUGAAGAUAGUGCUAUCAUAUCAAACUAGGCAGACAACUUAAUGCAUUCAUUUGUGCAUUGGGUGCUGCACUAUGUUAGGAAGAGGGAUAAAUAAGGCUCCAAAGUUAGGUUAUAUUUUGUUGAGGGAGAAACCAGCAUGAGUUACUAGUAAAGCAAGGCAGGUUGAUAUGUAUUGCUUAUUUGUUUGGUACGUUUCCUAUACAGGCUGUACUCUUAAAGACAAAGUCAACCAUAAAUACUAUAUGUCUGCAAUAAGUUAGUUAACAAAAUUAUGAUAUUUCUUUUCUCUGUCUUUAUUAAAGGGAGUCAGCAUGUCUGUAAUGAGGCCACAGAGAGCUAAGAUUAAGCCUAAAGAAGAGGCAGCUUAUUUUUCAUCAUUGGGAAAGGACAAGGAUGGAUUUACUAUAAAAUAUAUUAAUUCAUUCAAAGGUCGAGGAGUGUUUAGUUGCCGCCACUUUCAGAAAGGAGACUUUCUCAUAGAAUAUCGAGGGGAAGUCUUAAGCAAAAAGGAGUAUGAGUACCGACUAAGACUGUACCAUGAUGCUCUGAUGGUUGAAUUAUACUACAAUGGGAAAAAACUAUGUGUGGAUGCAGCAAAAGAGGAUGACUCCUUUGGCAGACUUGUCAAUGAUGACAAUAUAGACCCAAACUGUUGAAGGAAAACCUCAUCUGUGUUUGUUUGCCAUCAAGGACAUCAGGCCAGGGGAGGAGAUCACAUACAACUAUGGAGACUCAGACUGGCCGUGGAGAUCAAAGAUUUCAACGGAGACAGAGGAUCACCAUGCCGUCGUGAUAUGUGACAGCCUCAAAGAUGUUGAACAGAUAUCAACUGAGGCAGAGGGUCACCAUGUGGUUGUGGCAUCUGACAGCCUCAAAGAUGUUGAAAAGAUUUCAACUGAUGUAGAGGAUCACCAUGCUGCCGUGGUAUCGGACAGACUCAAAGAUUUUGAACAGGUAUUGGAUGAGAGAGAUUCUCCUACCAUGCCUCCUCUCCUUUCUUGUCCAGACAUGACAAUUCCUGAUUGUCACUCGGACAAUAUUCAUCAAAACUGCAAACACGAUGUGGUUUCCUCAGUAGUUCCAAGCUUCGAGAAAUGUGCCGUGUGCAACGGACCCUUUUCUGCCUUGAGAUGGCUUAGUAUUAAAGCUUUGACCACCUUGAAUGAGGAACACUUUAACAAGCCAUCUACCCUGCCAUUCACAGAAGAUCUGCAAUGUCUCCAUUGACAGGCCACCUGUUGAGGAACCUCCAGGCACCUCAGACGAUAUUGACUCUUCCCUAGAAGGCACAUCUACAGUGUUCAACGAAUACAUAGACAGGGUGAACAAAGAGCAUGGCAGGACAGCAGAGGAGCAUGACCAACCUGUGUCUCCUGGAGAUUGCCCGGAGAGACAGAAUCAAAGAAGGAAACGGAAAAGGCAGUGGUUCCCAAAAGAGGUUGCCGCUAUAAUGAGACAUUUUAAAAAGCACAUUGCCAAGGGAAAACUGGCCACAAGAAUGCAGUGCAAGAACGCUGAACAUCCUGAUCUUGAUAAGCGGUCACUUCAAAACAUUAGAGUCUUUGUUAGAAAUCGGGGCAUAACUCUGAAAAAGAAAACCAGCC
Molecule: long non-coding RNA, 2064 nt
Organism: Etheostoma spectabile (orangethroat darter)
Lineage: Eukaryota; Metazoa; Chordata; Actinopteri; Perciformes; Percidae
Exons: 12
Source: RefSeq, a predicted model, not a curated record